CGCAUAUAGUUCAAUGUACAUAAUUAAAAACUGACUGCAUACCAGCAUCACACGAAUAGUUCAUAAUUUUUAGAAGAACCGAUAAUAUUAUUAUGUUUCUAGAACACAAGUGUUGUUGUAAUAUUACUAUCGUUUGUUUUAUAGCGUUGUCUUAUGAAGUUGACAAUUAAUAAAUUCUCUGCAGAUAUAGUCAGUGUUAGAACAUGUUCGGUAAACUAUUUUUUUAGUGUCAUUAUGUAACUUAUAUGUGUUGUUGGUGCACGAUUGGCCGUCACGGCGGCACACAAUAUUAUAUAAUAAUAUUAUUACGUGACGAUUACGCUAUUUUCACCGGGAUCCGGGUCAAGGUCAUGCUCCAAGACUAUCGAUGUCCGGCGUGCCUCGCCUUUCCUGGCCGGUUGCAAUCUAUAGUGCAGCCUAGUACCCCGCGGCCUAUUAGUAUGGUCUGAUUUCGUGAACCGUUCGUACCGUCGAACUUGUGUUCGUGACAAAGAUAUUAAAAUAUUGUUCCGGUCGAAUGUGCUCCGCCGCCCAGUCUCACCGCCGUAAUGCUUACCGCUUCAUCCGAGUAUACUUAUGACCAACCGCCCUAGGUUGGAUGAAGUAUUAAAAUCCGUAGUUGUAAGUCUCAAAAGUGUCCGUGAUUUACAACCGCGGACGCUUAUAAUAUUGCACGGGCUACGCACCCAUCCACACAACAGUUCGUUAGUGUGGACACCGGCCCGUGCCCUUUCAUAAGGCCUUUGUGCCACCCUCCAGACAGUACUCCAGUCAACGUCCAUCAGCCAUCUGCGUCCCACAUCGCCCGGUCACCAUAGUUCCUGCCAACUGCUGAGACCGCAGCCCAAGUCUCCGCGAAAAGGUUGGGUCAUUUGUGAGUUAUGUAAUAGAGAACACCGAAUUCAUGCGUUUUACUGACUGUCCAAGGAGUUGUACAUUAUAAUGAAGGUUCUCGUGAGAUUUUUUCUCCCGGGACAAUACCAUUAUAUAAGCCAACAUAUCUUGCACCAAAUGGACGAGAAAAUACUACACUAGAACUAUUUUGUCAGCCUAAUGGAACGUGAAAUAAACAACUAUAUAGAUGCAAUACAUUAUACAUCAUAAGCAAAAUAUUGAUAAACAAUGGUGAAAAAGCACUUUUUGGAACGACACCUUGGAAUGUUAGAAUAUGUCGAUUAAAUAAAACAAAUUCCAAUCAUUAUUUGAUAUGCGUGGAGGAUCAAUUAUUGCUUCAAACUUAAUAGUUCCUGGCUCAUUGUUUUUGGAAAAAUGGUAUGUUAUCUAAUAAUAUAUCUAUAAUUGACCGUCUAUACAAAGUUGCUGCUGGAAAAUAUUAUAGAACCAAUUAAUGACUUAAAAUUUCCUCAAAUAACCAAUGUGGAUAUGAUUCACUCGAAAGAAGGUUAUUACGGAUCCUAUGGGUUUCAUGCUGAAUAUAUAGCUAUUAUUGUGUUACAAAAGAGUUUCUUUUAGGAAUGGUGUUGUACCUGUUUGUGUUGAUUGGAAUGGUGAAUAAUAUAGUCAAUGGAGAUCAAAAAAAGUGACUGUUGAUAAGUUUUGUGCCUGUUCUGCAUGGGAGAAAAUGCAGUGAGAUUAUCUACAAGAGAUUGCAUAAGUACCUACAAUAUUUUGGCAUGUUAUUACAAUACAUAAAUAAAAGUGGAUAAGUGUAUGUCGCUCUGCUGUACAGUAUGUUACAAUUUCAGAACAUAGUGUGGACGAAGGAGACAGCGAAUCAGAAUCAUGCUUUUUAGACGCUAAUUGGUAUUAUUUAUCGGAAUAGUGAGUGUCAAGGAUCCAGAACUGAAAAAUUCAAUUGCAGUUUCUACAGAAGUUAAGUACCACAUUUAAUGGAUUCAUAAACUGUAUAACCAUUAUAAAUAAGUCAAAUAUAAUUAAGGUAAUGUUAUUCCAAUUGUAAUUGAAAUACAUAUUUGUAUAUUUUGAAUAAUUAGUAUUUUUAUUAUGUUUAACAUUUUUUAACAGUUCUUAUAAUUGUUCAUUAAAAUUAAUAAGAAUAGGUACGUAUGUAUUCAUUUUGUAUUGUACACACAUAUAUUAUAUAUAAGCCAAAUAAUACUCACUCGCUAACUCACUCACUCACUGCAUCUUAAUCGCAA
Acyrthosiphon pisum (pea aphid) is the source of this 2120-nucleotide long non-coding RNA. RefSeq lists it as uncharacterized. Lineage: Eukaryota; Metazoa; Arthropoda; Insecta; Hemiptera; Aphididae. The transcript is spliced from 8 exons. The record is from RefSeq and is a predicted model, not a curated record.